AUUAAACGUUGGCGGCAUGCCUUACACAUGCAAGUCGAACGGCAGCACGGGGCAACCUGGUGGCGAGUGGCGAACGGGUGAGUAAAGCAUCGGAACGUGCCCUGGAGUGGGGGAUAACGUAGCGAAAGUUACGCUAAUACCGCAUAUUCUGUGAGCAGGAAAGCAGGGGAUCGCAAGACCUUGCGCUCUGGGAGCGGCCGAUGUCGGAUUAGCUAGUUGGUGGGGUAAAGGCCUACCAAGGCGACGAUCCGUAGCGGGUCUGAGAGGAUGAUCCGCCACACUGGGACUGAGACACGGCCCAGACUCCUACGGGAGGCAGCAGUGGGGAAUUUUGGACAAUGGGCGCAAGCCUGAUCCAGCCAUGCCGCGUGAGUGAAGAAGGCCUUCGGGUUGUAAAGCUCUUUCGGCCGGGAAGAAAUCGCAUGGGUCAAUACCCUGUGUGGAUGACGGUACCGGAAUAAGAAGCACCGGCUAACUACGUG
Molecule: ribosomal RNA, 482 nt
Filed under: uncultured bacterium
Lineage: Bacteria
Description: bacterial SSU rRNA
Rfam family: Bacterial small subunit ribosomal RNA
Source: RNAcentral